RNAcentral lists this ribosomal RNA (300 nucleotides) under Aristeus antennatus (red prawn). RNAcentral's name for it is "partial 16S ribosomal RNA". It matches the Rfam family "Bacterial large subunit ribosomal RNA", at positions 2017 to 2519 of the family's 2925-position model. Lineage: Eukaryota; Metazoa; Arthropoda; Malacostraca; Decapoda; Aristeidae. The record is from RNAcentral.
UGUCUCAUCCACAGAGUUUGAAUUUAACUUUUAAGUGAAAAGGCUUAAAUACUCUAGGGGGACGAUAAGACCCUAUAAAGCUUUACAAUAAACAGAAUGCAUUAAGAUUUGUUAGUAUAAUUUGGUCUAUUUCGGGUUUGUUUCGUUGGGGCGACGAGAAUAUAAGUUAGAUAACUGUUCUUUUUAGGUAUACAAUAUUAAUUGGUUAAAAAUUGAUCCUUUAUUAAAGAUUAUAAGAUUAAGUUACUUUAGGGAUAACAGCGUAAUCUUCUUUGAGAGUCCAGAUCGACAAGAAGGGUU